Molecule: long non-coding RNA, 2790 nt
Filed under: Coffea arabica (coffee)
Lineage: Eukaryota; Viridiplantae; Streptophyta; Magnoliopsida; Gentianales; Rubiaceae
Description: long non-coding RNA (CARA_LNC004738)
Source: RNAcentral
GGAUUUCCCCAUACCACAAUUGUGUAAGUUGAAAUUCGUCUAUUGCUGAAAUAUGCCAUUCCCGAUUUUGUUGAUGUAUGUGCUGUCUUGCUUCUCAACUGCAAAUCCAUUAACUUCGUCAAGAUCACAAGAAUAUUUGGCAGCAUAAAAGCAUCACACGUAUCAUCCUUUUGACACCCGGAUAUUUAAAAAAUAUUAUUUAAUAGAAAAGAGAAAACUAUGAAGAACUCGAUUCGGAUGCAUGUAAAAAUAACAGUGGGUGAUAAAUUUCUAAUAGACUCUAGUUAAGAAAGGCAUCAAAUGGGGUUGAUUUUAAAAUUUAUAUUUAAAUUAGAAAAAUGAUUUUAAUGCAACAAGAAACGUACAUAUCCCCCGUAUAGAUUGCUACUUUUAGGAGUUUUUAUAGAAAAAUGUACUGUAACGAUUUUUAAUGUAUGUGAAGUAAAAACCUGAUUGAAAAAUGUGUUUAUGAAAAAUAUAAAAAUUUUGUUGCGUAAAAUCACACUCCAAACAAGGUAAAUUGUCUGCAUUCGCACGACAAAUUUGGGAUGAAUUAGGUGCAUUAUGACGUCAGUAUAGCCCAAAAAUGGUUUAAGAAGAGAAGAAAACGAAAGUUGUCUAGAUCAUCAAAAGAGGGAAGAAACUCAACUAUUAUUGGCAAUUUAACCGUGUAUUGAUUUAAUCAUUCUCAACGUUUUCAAGACAAAUUAUACUGAAAUAUAUCUGCUAACAUUGGUCAGUGAUUCUUACCAAGAUAAAAAGAAGCACAUAUGGUUGACAAAUAGUACAACUAACUUGUAAUAAUAAGCACAUGUAUCAAUAUUGUAUGUUGUCGGAUCUUCAGAAAAUAACUCUUUAAUUAGUUUUGCUAGAAAUACUUAAUAGUAAGAUAAAACUCUCAAGUGCCCAAAAAAAAGAAUAACUUUUCCGCUAUACUGAAAAACAAAUAAGAUUCACAAAAUAAAUGCAUAAAAGAGUAAAAUCGAUAUUCUCUAAUAAUAAACUAUUUGUACUAUAAAUGUCAAUUAUUGAUUUUUAUUUUUUAUUUUUUUGCUUUGCCGAAUCUAAUAAAACGUAUGCAAUGUAAUGGAUUGGUUGCUGUUGGAUGUCUUUUUUGCGUAACGAUUUAGUCAUGCAAGCUGUAACAGCACAUCAGCAAGCCAUCCCAGUCUGUAAUAAUAAAACUCUUUUGCUGGCCACAUGCAAAUGAUCCAUUUGUCCCAAAAUAGGUAAUAAUAAAACUCUUUUGCUGGCCACAUGCAAAUGAUCCAUUUGUCCCAAAAUAGAAGAAGUUCCAGACAAGGCAUAAGGAUAAGAAGUUCCAGAUAAGGCACAAAUAUAAAGGAACUUCUUUUUUUUUGGGAUAAUUUCAGAAACUUCCCCUGAGGUUUCUAACAAUUUCAUUGAACUCCCAUAUGAUUUGGAAAAUUACACUUAGCUCCCUUAAUUUGAUUGUUUUAGUAACAAAAUCUUAAAAUAAUAUUGAUUUGGUCAAUUUUUUAAAUGAAUACCCAAAAAUGCUCUUGUGUAAUGAGUUUUAAUUUAUUUUUCUAUAUAAUUAUAAGAUUAUUUAGUAUAAUUAUAAGGAAAAGGUACCAAAUUUUUCAUGUCUAUAUCUACUAUAAACAACUAUAAUAAUAGUUUUAUUACUAUGAUAUGAUACUUUUAAUGGUAUUUUAUUAUGGAUUUAGAUAUAUAAGAUAGAAAAGAAAAUGUUGAAAUAAUUCAUUUAGAAUUUAUAAAUUUUUAGAGUAGCAGGAUUAUCAUAAUUUAGUAGUGCCUUUAGGCCCUUCUUUUUUAUUUAUUAUUAAUUUUAAUACCAAAAUAUAGAAAACAAAUAUCAGCAAAAAUAUUGGAUAACAUAUAAAAUUAACUCGUCAAAAAAAAUUAUUAGUUCGACAUUUGGUUAUGAUAGAAACUAGAGGCAAUAAUAGUAGUUCUAUAGUUUUAUUGGUGAAAACUUAAAAAAAAGGAAUAAGAAGAAUGAAAAAAUAAUUUUAAAACUCAUUCUAAGUAUUAGUAUACCAAAUAAAGGAAUUUCACUAAAAUAUUUAAGCGUAAAAUUGUCAUUUUAAAUAAUAAGGGAGGUAUGUGUAAUUUUUUAAACUUUAAGGGAGUUCGAUGGCAUUAUAGAAACCUCAGGGAGGUUUCUAAAAUUAUCCCUUCUCAUAAGAUAGUCGUGUUAUCCACAAUUCUUGGAAAGAAGGAUACCUUAACCAUUUGAGACUCCAAAGUCCCUUUUUGGCUGCUCCACCGCCAACGUCUUCACCUAAAAGAAACGCGUGUAAAGUGUAAACGUUGACAGAGGUACCAAACAUGUGAAAAAGAAAAUAAAAAAUGCGUCAAAGUCCUAGUCAUCCAUCCCACCGUUUGCACGCAGGUGUCGAUUGUCAGACACGGCAGCACGUUUUGUGCUUUCGUCUGGUCGGUUGUUGUACACUUGUACUUGCAACCUUUUGACGUAUCCGUUUGGAUUGGGAGCAAUACACUUUUUCGUUAGAGUAAUGCACUUCAAAAAAUACUCUAAAUACAAAUUCAAAUAUAUAAAAAUGCUUAAAAAAAAAAAUUUACGACCUUUUCCUUUCUUCGUUCACCAUCACUAUGUCUCCGGUCCUCCUCUUUCCACUUCUCUUCUCUUUCCUUCUUUUUUUCCUUCUUUUUUCCAUGCUCCUUUCUCGUCCUCUCUUUAGCACCACCAUUGAUACCUCCAUCAACCCCACCUUCACUGUACGUAUCACUUCCUACUCUUUUCCUCCUUCAUUCGCUUUCUCCCUCCCUCCCCUCCCUUCU